This 1362-nucleotide ribosomal RNA is filed under the name Hygrotus inaequalis. Its description in RNAcentral is "16S ribosomal RNA". The stretch from base 1066 to 1224 matches the Rfam family "Archaeal large subunit ribosomal RNA", at positions 2544 to 2703 of the family's 2987-position model. Lineage: Eukaryota; Metazoa; Arthropoda; Insecta; Coleoptera; Dytiscidae. The record is from RNAcentral.
UUUGAAAUAAUUUAAUUAUUAAAUUUUAUUGAUUUUAUUAUUUUAAUAAAAAUAAUUUUAAUUGAAGUUAUUUUAGUAUAUUUUAUAGAAAAAAUUUUUUUAAUUAUAGUUUAUUAGUAUUGUAAAAAAAAUUUGAAAUAUAAAUUUAUUUUUUAAAAGUAAAAUUAAUUUUUUGUACCUUGUGUAUCAGGGUUUAUUAAUUUAUAAAUAUAAAAUUUAUUUUUUCCGAAUUUAAGAGAGAUAAUAAGUAGUUUUUUUUAUUGUAAAAAAAAUAUUUAUAAUUAUUUAUUAGAGAUGAAAAGUCAUUCGUUCUUAAAGAUAUCUGGUUUAUUUAGAAAUGAAUUUAAUUCAGUUAAUUUAUAUUUAAUUAAUUUUUUUUUUAAGAUUAAUUAAUUUUAUUAGUAAUAAUUAAAGGGAUAAGCUUUUAGUUAAAUAUUUAAAAUUUUUAUUUUUAUUAUAAAUUUAUAGGUUUAGAAAUAUCCAUUAUUUAUAUAAUGUUAUAAUUAGUUUAUAGUUAUUUAUGAUUUUAUAAUUAUUUAAUUUUUUAUAAAUAAAAAAAAAAUAAUUAAAAAAUUUUAGUUAUUAUGAUAUAAUUAGUAUAUUUAUUUGUUUAAAUAUUGUAAAUUUAAAGAUUAUUUAAAGUAAUUCGGCAAAAUUUUAUUCGCCUGUUUAACAAAAACAUGUCCUUUAGAUUAGUAUUUAAGGUUUGACCUGCCCAAUGAUAAAGUAUUUAAUGGCCGCAGUAAUUUGACUGUGCAAAGGUAGCAUAAUCAUUAGUUUUUUAAUUGAAAGCUUGUAUGAAUGGUUGGACGAGAUAAAAACUGUCUCUAUUUAAUAUAUAAAACUUAAUUUUUAAGUUAAAAAGCUUAAAUUUUUGUAAAAGACGAGAAGACCCUAUAGAUCUUUAUAUAAUUUUUUUUAGUUUAAUUGAUGAUUUUUUAUUUAAUUAUAAAAAUUUAUAUUUUAUUGGGGUAAUAAAAAGAUUUGAUUAAUUCUUUUUUAUAUUACAUGAAUUAAUGAAUAAUUGAUCCGUUAUUAUUGAUUAUAAGAUUAAGUUACCUUAGGGAUAACAGCGUAAUUUUUUUGGAGAGUUCUUAUCGAUAAAAAAGUUUGCGACCUCGAUGUUGGAUUAAAAAUUAUUUUAGGCGUAGAAGUUUAAAAUUUUGGUCUGUUCGACCAUUGAAUUUUUACAUGAUCUGAGUUCAGACCGGUGUAAGCCAGGUCGGUUUCUAUCUUUAUUUAGAUAAAUUAUUUUAGUACGAAAGGACCAAAUAUUAAUUAUAUUGAUAGUUAUAUUAUUGAAAAAAAUUUUUACUUUGGCAGAUUAGUGCAAUAAAUUUAGGAUUUAUAAAUGUAAGUUUU